GAAGUGCGAUAAGUAAUGUGAAUUGCAGAAUUCCGUGAAUCAUCGAAUCUUUGAACGCAAAUUGCACUCUUUGGUAUUCCGAAGAGUAUGCCUGUUUGAGGGUCAGUCAAAUAAAAAUCGGGGUUGUUGCUGCCUUCGGUGGUGACGCUUCGGAACUGGGUCGUCUUUGCCUUCGGUUAAGUGACCUAAAAUUUCGGAUGAUUUUUCGAACGUAUUUAAUUUUUUUAUGUACGUUUGUAUAUCGAAUAUUAGAUGCGGUCAUUUCCAUGAUUCGCGUCUAUAAUUUUCAUCAAAUGACCUCAAAUCAGGUAAGAGUACCCGCUGAACUUAA
RNAcentral lists this unclassified non-coding RNA (331 nucleotides) under uncultured Glomeraceae. Its description in RNAcentral is "sequence contains ITS1". The stretch from base 1 to 105 matches the Rfam family "5.8S ribosomal RNA", at positions 50 to 154 of the family's 154-position model. The record is from RNAcentral. Lineage: Eukaryota; Fungi; Glomeromycota; Glomeromycetes; Glomerales; Glomeraceae.